CACAUGCAAGUCGAACGAGCGAGAGGAGGUUUACUUUCUCAAGCGAGUGGCGAACGGGUGAGUAACGCGUGAGGAACCUGCCUCAAAGAGGGGGACAACAGUUGGAAACGACUGCUAAUACCGCAUAAGCCCACGACCCGGCAUCGGGUAGAGGGAAAAGGAGCAAUCCGCUUUGAGAUGGCCUCGCGUCCGAUUAGCUAGUUGGUGAGGUAACGGCCCACCAAGGCGACGAUCGGUAGCCGGACUGAGAGGUUGAACGGCCACAUUGGGACUGAGACACGGCCCAGACUCCUACGGGAGGCAGCAGUGGGGAAUAUUGCACAAUGGGGGAAACCCUGAUGCAGCGACGCCGCGUGGAGGAAGAAGGUCUUCGGAUUGUAAACUCCUGUUGUUGAGGAAGAUAAUGACGGUACUCAACAAGGAAGUGACGGCUAACUACGUGCCAGCAGCCGCGGUAAAACGUAGGUCACAAGCGUUGUCCGGAAUUACUGGGUGUAAAGGGAGCGCAGGCGGGAAGGCAAGUUGGAAGUGAAAUCCAUGGGCUCAACCCAUGAACUGCUUUCAAAACUGUUUUUCUUGAGUAGUGCAGAGGUAGGCGGAAUUCCCGGUGUAGCGGUGGAAUGCGUAGAUAUCGGGAGGAACACCAGUGGCGAAG
RNAcentral lists this ribosomal RNA (655 nucleotides) under uncultured Lachnospiraceae bacterium. RNAcentral describes it as "bacterial SSU rRNA". It matches the Rfam family "Bacterial small subunit ribosomal RNA", at positions 52 to 720 of the family's 1533-position model. The record is from RNAcentral. Lineage: Bacteria; Bacillati; Bacillota; Clostridia; Lachnospirales; Lachnospiraceae.